Molecule: transfer RNA, 74 nt
Filed under: Thermocatellispora tengchongensis
Lineage: Bacteria; Bacillati; Actinomycetota; Actinomycetes; Streptosporangiales; Streptosporangiaceae
Description: Streptosporangiaceae bacterium YIM 77521 tRNA
Rfam family: tRNA
About the family: Transfer RNA (tRNA) molecules are approximately 80 nucleotides in length.
Source: Rfam by way of RNAcentral
GCCGCACAGGCCGAAGUGGUUCAAGGCGCCAGGCUUCCACCCUGGAGGAGCGGGUUCGACUCCCGCGUGCGGCU